UGGGGCUGGUGCUUUCCUCUGCCCGCUCCAAGGGGCAGCAGGAAUCUGGCGGGUAGAACAGGGCUGGUGGGACCCUUCACCGAGCCAGGCUGUGGGUGGGAGGGCACGACAGAGGGAACAGAGAGCCAGGGGCAAAAGCUGUACAGACCCCAAGGUGGCGUGACCCACAACCCCCACUUCAGUUGUGGGCAAGGAGUUCCCAGGCUGGGGGCUGAAUCUGAGCUACAGUUGCCAGCUGACGCCAGAGCCACACUGAGCAUAACUCAGGUAGUCAGUGUAGGAGCAGGAGCUUCGAUGCCUUCUUCGAUAUGGCCACUGAUUAACAUUUGUGGCUUAUGGGCUCCAGGGAGUAACAUCCCCACAGGCCUUGUUUACUAUAGGGAGUGUACCUGCGCCCAGAUGGACAUUAACCCCUAGUCCCCUGUGACUCAGUCUACGGGAAGAAAAGCACAGAGAGACUAUGAGACUUAUGGGAUGUUUCCACCCCUAAGACCCUAUUGGACAAGGACUGAUAUGGGUAAUUGAGCAAGGCCAAUGGGAGAAAAAACCACAUCUUUCUGGACCCCAUGUUGGUACCCUCCCCCCCUUUAAGGGCAAUAGAGAAAGGGGGCCCUUUUCCCUGCUCCCAGCAACCCUGGGAGCUAUUUGCUUUCCUUUAAUAAAGAUUUUGCUUGCUUGCUUGCUGCCUGUGUGUUCGUGGAGCUCAUUCUUCGACUGCCGUGAACAAGAACCUGGAUUCCGAUAUCAUCAUUCCAGUACCAACAGCAACGCCAGAUCCGAGCUGCAUCUGCGACCUACACUACCGUGCACAGCAAUGCUGGAUCCCCAACCCACUGAGUGAGGCCAGGGAUCGAACCUACAUCCUAAUGGAUUCUAGUUGGAUCAUUUCCACUACACCAGGAGGGAAACUCCUGGGAGUAUAUUUUGAGGAUGGCAGAUCCACACGGAGGAAGGAUCUUAGGGUCUGAGUGACUCCCUGAGCAGGACCGCAUGGACCGAGCACCCAGCCAGGAAUGCCGUUGUUGGACUUUGCAUGAGCAAGAAGUUCUGUUGUGUCAGCUACAGAGAUGGGGAGCAUCAGAAACCUUCCCUGGCAGCCUCCUGGCAGACCUCCCUCCCCGCUCAUUGACCAGCUUUAGAUCCCACACUCUCCCCAACUUGUUUGCCGAUGGGAUUGGUGUUCAAACAGUCAAGGGAGAAGGUGGGAAUUGACUUGGAGUAGGUGACCAAUGGUGGCUGCUACGUUAGUGAGGCCAAACAGCUUUUUACAUAUUUAUGGCCUAUUUUUAUUUUUUGUCAAUUGCCUCUUUGUGUUACUUUGCCUAUUUUUUUUUUCUUACUUUCCUUCCCUCCCUCCUUUCUUUCACUUUUUUUCAUUUUAUGGCCGCACCUGCAGCAUAUGGAAUUUCCUGGGCUAGGGAGUGAAUCUGAGCCACAGCUGCGACCUGUGCUUCGGCUACUGCAGCACUGGAUCCUUUAAGCCAUUGCGCUGGGGUGGGGAAUCGAACCUCAUCUCCACAUUGACCUGAGAUGCUGCAGUGGAUUCUUAACACACCGUGCCACAGUGGGAACUCCUUGCCUAUUUUUUCUAUCAAGGUUUUCUUUUUCCUUUUCAUGGCUGCACGUGUGGCAUAUGGAAGUUCCUGGGCCAGGGGCUGCAUCAGAGCUGCAGCUGCCACUCACAUCACAGGCAUGGCAACAUCGGAUC
RNAcentral lists this long non-coding RNA (1708 nucleotides) under Sus scrofa (pig). Its description in RNAcentral is "lncRNA (ENSSSCG00040042134.1)". Lineage: Eukaryota; Metazoa; Chordata; Mammalia; Artiodactyla; Suidae. The record is from RNAcentral.